AAUGAGCACACGAUGGAUGCCCAGGCGCUGCGUGCCGAUGAAGGACGGGGCAUCGCUCCGAUAAGCCGCGGGGAGCCGCGAGCAGGCUGUGAUCCGCGGAUGUCCGAAUGGGGCAACCCACCCCUGCGGGGGUACGGUCGUAUGACCGGGGGCACCCGGCCAACUGAAACAUCUCAGUAGCCGGAGGAAGAGAGAACUACACCCGUAGUAGUGGCGAACGAACCGGGUUCAGGCCUAAACCCGCGCCGUGGCAAGGCGCCAGCCGUUGCGGCGCGGGGGUUGGAGGGCACGGCCGGCGCGCUGGCGAGCGCCACCCUGACCGCCGGACGCAGGCGAAGCGGUUUGGAACACCGCACCAGAGGGGGUGAGAGUCCCGUAGCCGCGUCUUACCGUCAGGGGCCGUGACCCUGAGUAGGUCCGGGCACGAAGAACCCGGGCUGAAGCCGGGCUGACCACAGUCCAAGGCAAGCUACACGCAGCGACCGAUAGCGCACAGUACCGUGAGGGAACGGUGAAAAGCACCCCGGUGAGGGGAGUGAAAGAGAACCUGAAAUCGUGUGCUUCCACGCCGUGGGAGCCCUGCGGGGUGACCGCGUGCCUUUUGGAGUAUGAUCCGGCGAGUUAUCCUGCGUGGCACGGUUAAGGCAGUGACAGCCGGAGCCGGAGUGAAAGCGAGCCUGCAUGAGGCGUUGGUCGCGCAGGAUAGACGCGAAACCACGUGAGCUACCCAUGGGCAGGCUGAAGCGUCCCUAACAGGACGUGGAGGGCCGCACCGGUGUGGGUUACAAACCGCUCGGAUGACCUGUGGGUAGGGGUGAAAUGCCAAUCGAACGUGGAGAUAGCUCGUUCUCCCCGAAAUGCAUUGAGGUGCAGCCGCGGGUAUGGCGCCGCUGGAGGUAGAGCACUGUUGUUGUGCGGGGGCUUCACCGCUUACCAAGCGACGGCAAACUCCGAAUGCCAGCGCGCGCGCACCGCGAGUGAGACGGCGGGUGCGAAUAUCCGUCGUCGAGAGGGAAACAACCCAGACCGCCAGCUAAGGCCCCUAAAUCACCGCUCAGUGGGAAAGGUUGUGGCGCCGCGUAGACAACCAGGAGGUUGGCUUAGAAGCAGCCAUCCUUGAAAGAGUGCGUAACAGCUCACUGGUCGAGUAGCGCUGCGCCGACGCUUUAACGGGGCAAAGCGGUGUGCCGACGCUGCGGGUUCUCUGCGGAGAACGGUAGGGGAGCGUCGUCCGGGGGGUGAAGCCGGCGCGGAAGCGCCGGUGGACCGCGGACGAGUGCGAAUGCCGGAAUGAGUAACAGAGAAGUGGGGUUGCAAUCCCCACCGCCGAAAGCCUGAGGGUUCCGCCGCACGGAUGCACCGCGGCGGGUUAGUCGGGCCUAAGCCGCAGCCGCAAGGCGCAGGCGAUGGACAACAGGCGCAUAUUCCUGUACCACCGUCGGGUCGCUAGACUGAUGCCGGACGCUGAGGGGGAGUCGCCGCGGCGAGACGAGCGCCGUGCAAGCCGGUAGGGAGCAGGCGGAGGCAAAUCCCCGCCUGCGGUGACCGAGAGGUGAUGCGCAGGCCGGCCCGCAGGGGCAGGCCAAUGGCGAGGCACCUGUGCAGCCGAGAAAUGCCGGCUAGGGAGACCCGCGGUGCCCGUACCGCAAACCGACCCAGGUAGGCUGGUCGAGGAGACCAAGGCGGACGAGUGAGCCCUGGUUAAGGAACUCGGCAAAUUGACCCCGUACCUUCGGAAGAAGGGGUGCUGCGCUAGGGUGAACCCGCACGCCGGGGGAGCGCGAGGCAGCCGCAGGGUCCAGGCCCGGGCGACUGGAUACCAGAACCACAGCUCCCUGCUCAAGCCGGAAGGCGAUGUAUAGGGGGUGAUGCCUGCCCAGUGCCGGAAGGUUAAGGGGAGGCGUGCACGCGCCGAACCGAAGCCCCGGUAAACGGCGGCCGUAACUAUAACGGUCCUAAGGUAGCGAAAUUCCUUGUCGGGUAAGUUCCGACCCGCACGAAAGGCAUCACGAUCUGGGCGCUGUCUCAACCAGGGGCUCGGUGAAAUUGCAGUGGCCGUGAAGAUGCGGCUACCUCAGAGCGGGACAAAAAGACCCCGUGGAGCUUUACUACAACUUGCCAUCGGACGGACGACCGCGAUGCGUAGCAUAGGUGGGAGCCGGCGAACCGCCCCUUGCGGGGGGCGGGGAGGCGUCCGUGAAAUACCACUCUUCGCGCUCGUGCGUCCUCACCCGCAGGCCGCGGGGACGGUGGCUGGCGGGUAGUUUGACUGGGGCGGUCGCCUCCUAAACGGUAACGGAGGCGCGCAACGGUCCCCUCACGUGGGAUGGCCAUCCACGAGUGAGUGCAACGGCACAAGGGGGCUUGACUGCAAGGCCUACAGGCCGCGCAGGGACGAAAGUCGGCCGUAGUGAUCCCACAGUACCGCGUGGAAGGGCUGUGGCUUAACGGAUAAAAGCUACCCCGGGGAUAACAGGCUCAGACCUCCCAAGAGUUCAUAUCGACGGAGGAGCGUGGCACCUCGAUGUCGGCUCGUCGCAUCCUGGGGCUGGAGUAGGUCCCAAGGGUUGGGCUGUUCGCCCAUUAAAGCGGCACGCGAGCUGGGUUCAGAACGUCGUGAGACAGUUCG
This 2629-nucleotide ribosomal RNA is filed under the name hot springs metagenome. Its description in RNAcentral is "bacterial LSU rRNA". It matches the Rfam family "Bacterial large subunit ribosomal RNA". The record is from RNAcentral.